Molecule: long non-coding RNA, 429 nt
Organism: Gossypium arboreum
Lineage: Eukaryota; Viridiplantae; Streptophyta; Magnoliopsida; Malvales; Malvaceae
Exons: 2
Source: RefSeq, a predicted model, not a curated record
ACCGGUGUGGAUUGGCUCAACAUUGCUCAUGCCUCUUUUAUUGUUUUGGAUGGCAAUGCAAUUUCAGCUAAUGAUAACUGAUCAGCCCGCCAUUCUUUGGGAAUUGGUGGUUAUACCAAAGUAUUGUCGAUGCAAAUCCCAAAAGUUGAGCGGGAGAGGUGUUGUUGGCUUCCAAUGUCUCCUCACUGUUAGGUUGUAAUAUAGAUUAAGCUGUUUGUGCUUUGAUAUUUUAUUUAAACACUGUCUGCAUUUCCUUUUUGCUGAUUGUUACUCGGUUUGUAUAUUUGGAAUUGGAUUUAAGAUUUAGCUGCUGCUUUUCUAUUGAAUUUAAGGUUUGUAUCACCCUCAUAUCCAUUGUUGAAAGGGCUGAACUUAUUUCAGAUUGGGGUUUGAAUUUUUUUUAUUUAAGUUAAUCUCUUAACUUAACAA